This is a long non-coding RNA of Capsicum annuum, 222 nucleotides long. RefSeq lists it as uncharacterized. The record is from RefSeq and is a predicted model, not a curated record. The transcript is spliced from 3 exons. Lineage: Eukaryota; Viridiplantae; Streptophyta; Magnoliopsida; Solanales; Solanaceae.
AGGAUAGUGAAAAGAAAAUGACCCUCACAAUAUCUGAAACUAAAUUGACCUUAACCACUUUUUCACUUGUGAAGCAGAUUAAUUACUUAAAAGAAUUUUUAGGUGAUGGCUUUGUGGAUCACAUGAGGGAAAACAAAUACCUCCAUGAUAUAUUUAAAUUUGUUCCACAAACAAUUUCUACUGACGAGGAAGAAGAUUUGCAUGGACCUGAAUUUGAAGGGG